GGAACGAACGCUGGCGGCAUGCCUAACACAUGCAAGUCGAACGAGACCUUCGGGUCUAGUGGCGCACGGGUGCGUAACGCGUGGGAAUCUGCCCUUGGGUUCGGGAUAACAGUUGGAAACGACUGCUAAUACCGGACGAUGUCUUCGGACCAAAGAUUUAUCGCCCAAGGAUGAGCCCGCGUAGGAUUAGCUUGUUGGUGAGGUAGGAGCUCACCAAGGCGACGAUCCUUAGCUGGUCUGAGAGGAUGAUCAGCCACACUGGGACUGAGACACGGCCCAGACUCCUACGGGAGGCAGCAGUGGGGAAUAUUGGACAAUGGGCGAAAGCCUGAUCCAGCAAUGCCGCGUGAGUGAUGAAGACCUUAGGUGUAAAGCUCUUUUACCGGGAUGAUAAUGACAGUACCGGAGAGUAACGCCCCGGAUAACGUCCGCGCCAGCAGCCGC
RNAcentral lists this ribosomal RNA (444 nucleotides) under uncultured soil bacterium. RNAcentral describes it as "bacterial SSU rRNA". It matches the Rfam family "Bacterial small subunit ribosomal RNA", at positions 27 to 518 of the family's 1533-position model. The record is from RNAcentral.